RNAcentral lists this unclassified non-coding RNA (156 nucleotides) under uncultured Mycoleptodiscus. Its description in RNAcentral is "sequence contains ITS2". Lineage: Eukaryota; Fungi; Ascomycota; Sordariomycetes; Magnaporthales; Magnaporthaceae. The record is from RNAcentral.
CUACCCUCAAGCGCAAGCUUGGUGUUGGGGAACGCCCUGCUAACGCGGCGGCGGCCCUUAAAUCCAUCGGCGGUGCCGGUGCGGCCUGGAGCGCAGCAGCAAUGCAGCUUCCCGAGCCCGCCUGGAACCAGCCGGACAAAUGAAACUUCUUUCUCA